Gossypium raimondii (Peruvian cotton) is the source of this 1092-nucleotide RNA transcript. It is a transcript of the gene named probable E3 ubiquitin-protein ligase RHA4A, with no coding region annotated. NCBI's taxonomy places the organism in Eukaryota, Viridiplantae, Streptophyta, Magnoliopsida, Malvales, Malvaceae. The transcript has 3 exons. The record is from RefSeq and is a predicted model, not a curated record.
CAACUCAUUAAUCAUCAUGUAAUAGUUGAUCUUUAAAACUUAUUUAAUUUCUUUUUCCUUUUUCAAGUUUAUCAUGUCCUUUGUUCCACUCUUAAAACAUCUUUGCUUUAAGCAUCAAGUGCUGUUUUCUCCUCCUUUCACCUUAAGUACAAUCACCAUACAUACUCACACACACACACAUAUAUAUACACUCAAGUAAGCUAGAGAGCCAUUGCCAUUUCUCUUGGGCUAUAGGCUCUAAUGGGUGUUCCUCAAAACCAAACACAAACACCACUUUCAGCUCCUCACCUUUAUCCACAAGCACUUCAACUUAAACUCUAUCAGGCUUUCAUAUUUUCAAUUCCCAUCCUCUUUUCAAUAAUCCUCUUCUUAUUGUUUUACUUGUUUUACCUCAAGAGAAGAGCUACCAAUAUAUCAAACCCUAGGCCUAUUCUUCCAACAGCUACUACUUUUAAUCCCUCAUUAAUUCAUGUAUGUGCAUUUACUGCAGCAGCAGCCUUAUCAAUUGAGUUUAAAAAGUGGGUUCAAAGAUAAGUUGCCUACGGUCUUAUUUGAUGAAGAAUUGAGGACAAGGGAUACACUAUGCAGCGUUUGCUUAGGUGAAUUUGAGAUGAAAGAGGAACUGCUCCAAGUCCCAUCUUGCAAACAUGUGUUCCACAUCGAAUGCAUGCAUCGUUGGCUACAUUCUAAUUCAACUUGUCCACUUUGUAGAUGUUGUGUUGCCGUUGGCGUUAUUCCCAUCACCAAACUCCAUCCUCCAAUACCAUUUAUCCACAUUGACCCCCCGCCGCCACCGUCAUCACCGCCAUCAUCGCCACAUUAACAGAACGUAUUGUCUUAGCCACAACUUGAGUCACAUCGACAAAGCAAGCCCCUCUGGUGGUAUACAUAAUUUGUUUCAUUUAUUAAAGAGUAGUUAAUCGCAAAUCAUACGCGCACAACUUAUCAAAGAAUAAAACGACACCGACAAAGCAACGAGUUACUAGUCUAGUGAUAAAAAUGACUUGCAAAGAUUCAAGUUUCAAAGUUGACAUUAAUGCCUAGAGGUUCAAAUGUUAUAAUUUGAAUGUAAAAAAAUGUUGUUACUCCUUA